AGCGAACGCUGGCGGCAGGCCUAACACAUGCAAGUCGAACGGAUCCUUCGGGAUUAGUGGCGGACGGGUGAGUAACACGUGGGAACGUGCCUUUUGGUUCGGAACAACUCAGGGAAACUUGAGCUAAUACCGAAUGUGCCCUUCGGGGAAAGAUUUAUCGCCAUUAGAGCGGCCCGCGUCUGAUUAGCUUGUUGGUGAGGUAAAGGCUCACCAAGGCUACGAUCAGUAGCUGGUCUGAGAGGAUGAUCAGCCACAUUGGGACUGAGACACGGCCCAAACUCCUACGGGAGGCAGCAGUGGGGAAUCUUGCGCAAUGGGCGAAAGCCUGACGCAGCCAUGCCGCGUGAAUGAUGAAGGUCUUAGGAUUGUAAAAUUCUUUCACCGGGGACGAUAAUGACGGUACCCGGAGAAGAAGCCCCGGCUAACUUCGUGCCAGCAGCCGCGGUAAGGUCGUCAUGU
Molecule: ribosomal RNA, 459 nt
Filed under: uncultured bacterium
Lineage: Bacteria
Description: bacterial SSU rRNA
Rfam family: Bacterial small subunit ribosomal RNA
Source: RNAcentral